UUUCCGGUUGAUCCCGCCGGACCUGACUGCUAUCGGAUUGAUACUAAGCCAUGCGAGUCAUUGCAGUAAUGCAAGGCAGACGGCUCAGUAACACGUAGUCAACUUACCCUAUGGACGAGGAUAAUCUCGGGAAACUGAGCAUAAUACUCGAUAGAUCAUUAUGCCUGGAAUGGUUUAUGAUUAAAACGAUUCGUCGCCAUAGGAUGGGACUGCGGCCUAUCAGCUUGUUGGUGAGGUAAUGGCCCACCAAGGCGAUUACAGGUACGGGCUCUGAGAGGAGAAGCCCGGAGAUGGGUACUGAGACAAGGACCCAGGCCCUAUGGGGCGCAGCAGGCGAGAAAACUUUGCAAUGUGCGAAAGCACGACAAGGUUAGUCCGAGUGAUUUCUGCUAAAGAAAUCUUUUGCAAGUCAUAAAACCACUAGUGAAUAAGGGGUGGGCAAGUUCUGGUGUCAGCCGCCGCGGUAAAACCAGCACCUCAAGUGGUCAGGAGGAUUAUUGGGCCUAAAGCAUCCGUAGCCGGCUCUGUUAGUUUUCGGUUAAAUCUAUGUGCUCAACGCAUGGGCUGCCGAAAAUACUGCAGAGCUAGGGAGUGGGAGAGGUAGACGGUACUCGGUAGGAAGGGGUAAAAUCCUUUGAUCUAUUGAUGACCACCUGUGGCGAAGGCGGUCUACCAGAACACGUUCGACGGUGAGGGAUGAAAGCUGGGGGAGCAAACCGGAUUAGAUACCCGGGUAGUCCCAGCUGUAAACGAUGCAGACUCGAUGAUGCAUUGGCUUAUCGCCAAUGCAGUGUCGCAGGGAAGCCGUUAAGUCUGCCGCCUGGGAAGUACGUACGCAAGUAUGAAACUUAAAGGAAUUGGCGGGGGAGCACCACAAGGGGUGAAGCCUGCGGUUCAAUUGGAGUCAACGCCGGGA
RNAcentral lists this ribosomal RNA (916 nucleotides) under uncultured archaeon. RNAcentral describes it as "SSU rRNA". It matches the Rfam family "Archaeal small subunit ribosomal RNA", at positions 1 to 923 of the family's 1478-position model. The record is from RNAcentral.